UCCUGUCCUCGGCAGUAUUUAUAGCCUC
This 28-nucleotide small RNA is filed under the name Bombyx mori (domestic silkworm). Its description in RNAcentral is "ovarian small RNA-7417". Lineage: Eukaryota; Metazoa; Arthropoda; Insecta; Lepidoptera; Bombycidae. The record is from RNAcentral.